GGCCUUCGUCUGCUUCAUAAAAACCCGAGCCAGAAAAGGAGCCGCACUGAGACCGAGCAGCCCUAUGGGGGUGUUGAAGGCCCCGGCUCAGGAAGACCCCAUCUACGACUCCAUUGACGAAGGGGAACAGCCACAGACCCUGGAGCCCGGCAUCUACGCCGAGCUGGACCGCCAGACGCUGCAGCCCAGUGUGUACGAUGUGAUCAACGUGAGCCGGGGAGCCCCGCAGUGAGAGCCCCCCGCAGCCAUGGGGCGCCAGACCCCAGGGGGCAACAGCCUCACGCUCCAACAGCGCCAGCCCCAGAGAACUCUGCAUCUAGGGAAGAUUUAGGGGGGACGCUGCCCUCCCCGCGCUGCAGCCCCGUCCCAUCAAACUUCUGUCCCCCUGCCCCACGCAGACCCACAUGUGGGGGGAAGGGGGAGUUCAGCACUGGGAUGGGUAGGAGACGCUUCAAGGCAGCUUUGAUGUUAUUUUGCAUCCUGUUAACCUCCAGAUUUGUAAUAAACACAGAUCAUUA
Molecule: non-coding RNA, 518 nt
Organism: Chrysemys picta bellii (western painted turtle)
Lineage: Eukaryota; Metazoa; Chordata; Testudines; Emydidae
Source: RefSeq, a predicted model, not a curated record